GGCUGGGCACAACUGCCUGAGGGAAAAGAGACAUUAAAAAGACAGGGUGUGGGAACAACUGAUGCGCACAUGCAAGAGAAUGGGGUCCUGCCUCGCGCCGUAUACAUAAAGGUAAUUCAAGAUGGCUCACAGACCUAAAACUGUGACGCUUGGAAAGGAACGGCUGUAAGAGGAAGAUAUCCACGCCGUUCUCACAAGUGAUUCCUGUUAGCUCAGCACCUGCCUAGGGCCUUGUUUAAGGAUAAACCUGAGGACGUCCAGUCCAGCGUUGACAGGUUUAACAGAAGCAGGCCUUUGAAAGGAUGCAAGGCCGGUGAAGGUGUUGUGAAAAUAGGAGUCUGAUGAAAGGAUCGGAUGGGAUCGUGGUGGCCGAGGACGUCUCAAGGGCCCAGCCACAGCAGGAGGAGAAAGACCAGCCACAUGGCUUCAGGCUCAGCAGAAGUGCCUCAGGGUUCAAGGCCC
This is a long non-coding RNA of Peromyscus leucopus (white-footed mouse), 462 nucleotides long. RefSeq lists it as uncharacterized. The record is from RefSeq and is a predicted model, not a curated record. The transcript has 3 exons. NCBI's taxonomy places the organism in Eukaryota, Metazoa, Chordata, Mammalia, Rodentia, Cricetidae.